This 254-nucleotide non-coding RNA is filed under the name Lachnoclostridium sp. RNAcentral describes it as "T-box sequence". It matches the Rfam family "T-box leader". From Rfam's summary of the family: Uncharged tRNA acts as the effector for transcription antitermination of genes in the T-box leader family. T-boxes are found upstream of many aminoacyl-tRNA synthetase genes and some amino acid biosynthetic genes usually in Gram-positive bacteria. Lineage: Bacteria; Bacillati; Bacillota; Clostridia; Lachnospirales; Lachnospiraceae. The record is from RNAcentral.
CUACAGGCGAUGAAAAGAAUAAGUAGUGAUUCCCGGAAUCCACAGAAAGCAGCCGGUCGAUGAGAGGCGCGGAGAAAAGGAAUCAUGAAUACCUCUUGGAGCUUCCCUCUGAAACCGCAGCGCGCGUGCGGCAAGUAGGAGGAGACGGACGCACCCGUUAUCGUGCAGGGUAUCAUGGCGUACCUGGUAAGGCGGCAGGCGUGAGCGUGCCGUGAAAAAAGGUGGUAACACGGGAUCUGGCUCUCGUCCUUUUA